This 75-nucleotide ribosomal RNA is filed under the name Conothamnus trinervis. The record is from RNAcentral. Lineage: Eukaryota; Viridiplantae; Streptophyta; Magnoliopsida; Myrtales; Myrtaceae.
CCGAAGUUAAGCGUGCUUGGGCGAGAGUAGGACUAGGAUGGGUGACCUCCUGGGAAGUCCUCGUGUUGCACCCCU